RNAcentral lists this long non-coding RNA (469 nucleotides) under Androctonus crassicauda. Lineage: Eukaryota; Metazoa; Arthropoda; Arachnida; Scorpiones; Buthidae. The record is from RNAcentral.
GAAGUAGGGUAGAAGCGCGCCUGAUUUUUUUUUUUUUUUUUUUUUUUUUGGUUCUUUCUUUUAUUUUUAUUCUGUUAAGUCUCAGUUCUGAAGGGGAAAACCUCAGUUGGCCUCUGCCCCACUUCCCUGGCCAGGGGCUCCUCCCCCUCAGCACUCCUUCAUGGCCCCCUUCACCCAGGGUAUCCCGCCUCCAUCACCUCACUCGCAAGUUGCUUGAAAAGAAGAAGACAGCUUCUCUCCAACAGGAAGUGUUGAGCCCAAGGCGGGAGGCACUGGAGGCCCCCUCCAGAAGCCUGAGGUUUGUGCCGGUGUGGUGAUGCCCAUACAUUCCUUCACGCGCCCCACUGCCGGGAGGACCGCUGUCCCCAGCCAGCCAAAAUCACGACACAUUCCAGCCCUGCCCAGCAUGCUGACCUUUGGCCUCUAAAUCCCCGUGGGCCUCCAGGUCAGGGCAGGGGUUGAGUGGCCU